RNAcentral lists this ribosomal RNA (275 nucleotides) under uncultured bacterium. RNAcentral's name for it is "partial 16S ribosomal RNA". It matches the Rfam family "Bacterial small subunit ribosomal RNA", at positions 399 to 691 of the family's 1533-position model. The record is from RNAcentral.
GCGUGAGUGAAGAAGGCCUUAGGGUUGUAAAGCUCUUUCAAUAGGGAAGAUGAUGACGGUACCUAUAGAAGAAGCCCCGGCUAAAUCCGUGCCAGCAGCCGCGGUAAGACGGAUGGGGCUAGCGUUGUUCGGAAUUACUGGGCGUAAAGGGCGCGUAGGCGGUUAAUUAAGUUAGGCGUGAAAGCCCUGGGCUUAACCCAGGAACUGCGUUUAAUACUGGUUAACUAGAGUUUGGUAGAGGAAAGCGGAAUUCCUAGUGUAGAGGUGAAAUUCGU